UUUUGUACAAUAAGAAAUGAGGUGUAAAAGUGUUUUGUGUUUAAUAGGAGUACAGCUUAAUUAUUAUUGAGUGGGUGCUCAGAGAAGGUGAAAAGCCUGUGUGGUUGUACUAACCUGUUGAACCGAAGCUCUAGAGAGUCUAGUUGUUUGAGAGUACAACUUAAAGAUGGUGGUAAAUUUCAUCAAAGGCUAAAUAUAUGAAGGGACUAAUAGCGAACAAGUACCAUGAGGGAAAGUUGAAAAGAACUCUGACGAGAGAGUUCAACAGUACGUGAAACCAUAGUGAGUAAAACAGAUAACUGUGCUGUAAAGUGGUGUGCCUAUCAACAGGGUAGUUGGUUGUGUGAUGCCUUGAGCGUAAGUUGUCCAUUCAACCGACUGCUCUUGGUUAGCCCUGCCAGAGACUCUGUGCACUAGUGCACACUCAUUCAUUGAGUAACUAUGCCGCUGCGGCAUCGAUAUGGGACAGCUCGUACGUAGUGCGAUGUUCUGUGUUGGGCGUCAUCUAGCCGGUGUAGUUUAGCUGUGGGACAGCUACGGCCUGCGUUUACUAAAUGUAACUGCUGUAUCUGCGAUUUGGUUUAUUCCUUGUUGCGGUGAGCAUGUUACUCUAGGUAAGCAGUCCGCCAUCAAUGGUUAGCAUUAGUUAUUUGACCCGUCUUGAAACACGGACCAAGGAGUUCAAAUGGCACGCGAGUCAUUGGGUCUUAACACCCGAAGGCGAAGUGAAAUGCAAAGGUAUUGUUAUUUGUGGUUGUACCAUGAUUAAGCGAUGAGCUACUUAUGCUUUCUGGCAUUUGUAGACUACAAGCGUGAUGUUUGAGACCCGAAAGAUGGUGACCUAUGCCUAGUCAAGAUGAAGCCAGAGGAAACUCUGGUGGAUGUCUGAAGUUAUUCUGACGUGCAAAUCGAUAAUCUGAUCUGGGUAUAGGGGCGAAAGACUAAUCGAACCAUCUAGUAGCUGGUUCCUUCCGAAGUUUCCCUCAGGAUAGCUAGCGUACACGUUUAGUUUCAUCCCGUAAAGCGAAUGAUUAGAGGUAUUGGGGCGUAUAUAGCCUCAACCUAUUCUCAAACUUUUAAUGGGUGUGAGUGUUNUUUCUCGAUUGAAGAACACUGCUAAAUAAGUAUGCUUAGUGGGCCAUUUUUGGUAAGCAGAACUGGCGCUGUGGGUUGAACCAAUUGUUGGGUUAAAGUGCCAAAAGCUGAAAUGCGCAUGAGAUCUAUAAAGGGUGUUAGUUGCUGAAGACAGCAG
RNAcentral lists this ribosomal RNA (1252 nucleotides) under Varroa destructor (honeybee mite). RNAcentral describes it as "eukaryotic LSU rRNA". It matches the Rfam family "Eukaryotic large subunit ribosomal RNA", at positions 127 to 1243 of the family's 3401-position model. The record is from RNAcentral. Lineage: Eukaryota; Metazoa; Arthropoda; Arachnida; Mesostigmata; Varroidae.